RNAcentral lists this long non-coding RNA (312 nucleotides) under Salvia miltiorrhiza (redroot sage). Its description in RNAcentral is "long non-coding RNA (SMIL_LNC012862)". Lineage: Eukaryota; Viridiplantae; Streptophyta; Magnoliopsida; Lamiales; Lamiaceae. The record is from RNAcentral.
GCGAAAUUUUGUUAGCUUUUUUUCAUUCUUCUUUUUCCUUUUUUUUUCUUCUUUUCAAUUAUACUAUUUCUCUUUGUAAAUGACAAUAUUUUUCUUGAUAAAUGACACCCUUUUCAAUUAUACUAUCUCUCUUUAUAAAUGACAAUAUUUUUCUUGAUAAAUGACACGAUCGGUAUUAAUAAAUGAUACUAUAUUUAUAUUACAAAUAACACUUUUAAUAUAUCUAAAUGACACUAUUUUUUUUAGUAAACGAUACUUUUUAUAUAUCUAAAAAUGACACUAUUUUUCUUAGUGAAUAACACUAUAUGCAUU